UACGGAGGGUGCAAGCGUUAAUCGGAAUUAUUGGGCGUAAAGCGUCCGUAGGUGGCUGUAUAAGUCUUUUGUCAAAUCGUGCGGCUUAACCGCAUACGGGCAGAGGAAACUAUAGAGCUAGAGUGCGAUAGGGGUCACAGGAAUUCCCAGUGUAGCGGUGAAAUGCGUAGAUAUUGGGAAGAACACCAGCGGCGAAAGCGUGUGACUGGGUCUGCACUGACACUGAGGGACGAAAGCUAGGGGAGCGAAAGGG
Molecule: ribosomal RNA, 253 nt
Filed under: uncultured bacterium
Lineage: Bacteria
Description: partial 16S ribosomal RNA
Rfam family: Bacterial small subunit ribosomal RNA
Source: RNAcentral